This is a non-coding RNA of Caretta caretta (loggerhead turtle), 770 nucleotides long. The record is from RefSeq and is a predicted model, not a curated record. NCBI's taxonomy places the organism in Eukaryota, Metazoa, Chordata, Testudines, Cheloniidae.
GGUGAUUAUUAAGGGGAAUCCCUGAAUAUAUUCUCCAGCAAAGAAGGCAGGGCUGCUGGGGCUGCUCAAGAAGAGAGCCAGCAGCCUCCUACAGCACCACUACAGGCACUGAGAGGACAUAACAUCAGAGAGCAGCUCCUCUGCCCUCCAAAACAACAACUUUCCUACCAUCUUGGAGGUAGUAGAGAGGGGGGAAAAGUACAGAGGGUUUUUAUAGAAAGUGUCAGUUUAAAAAUAAUAAUAAAAAAGGACGUUAUCUAUUUGUGUGACUUAAAAAAAAAGGCAGGUGGCUUAGGAAAUAUUUUCCUUUAUAAUCAGUGAAGAUCAUUUGUCUGAAAAAAAAAUUUAAAAAGAAGGAUGGUCAAAAAGAAAAUCUCUUCUUAGAUGGAGUAAUGCAGGGAGAAAAGAGAUCAAGUCCAGAUUUAAAGUACUCUAGGAAUAAGCCCCUUCUCUAAUCACUGCAACCUCCCUCAUGCUAGAAACUGUUUAACUGGAAACAACAGCGGUUGGAAGGGACAACUCAGCUCACUCAGAAGAGGACACGUGCUAGAGAUUUAUGAUCAUGAAUGUUUCAGUUUCACACAUUGGAAAGAACUUUCAAACCUCAGCUUUACGGUGAGCAUAUUAAACAAUUUAUAGAGAAACCCUGCUUUUUAACCAUUACUACAUCAGUGAAUGUUAUAAAACUGCCCUCCGAAAGAGCUUCUAAACACUGCACCAGUGAAAGAUAUAGUUAUAUUCUGACAUAUCUGAAUAGGUGCAUUAUUAAG